This 467-nucleotide ribosomal RNA is filed under the name uncultured bacterium. Its description in RNAcentral is "partial 16S ribosomal RNA". It matches the Rfam family "Bacterial small subunit ribosomal RNA", at positions 28 to 507 of the family's 1533-position model. The record is from RNAcentral.
GACGAACGCUGGCGGCGUGCUUAACACAUGCAAGUCGAACGGAAAGGCCCUGCUUUUGUGGGGUGCUCGAGUGGCGAACGGGUGAGUAACACGUGAGUAACCUGCCCUUGACUUGGGAUAACUUCAGGAAACUGGGGCUAAUACCGGAUAGGAGCUCCUGCUGCAUGGUGGGGGUUGGAAAGUUUCGGCGGUUGGGGAUGGACUCGCGGCUUAUCAGCUUGUUGGUGGGGUAGUGGCUUACCAAGGCUUUGACGGGUAGCCGGCCUGAGAGGGUGACCGGCCACAUUGGGACUGAGAUACGGCCCAGACUCCUACGGGAGGCAGCAGUGGGGAAUAUUGCACAAUGGGCGGAAGCCUGAUGCAGCAACGCCGCGUGCGGGAUGACGGCCUUCGGGUUGCAAACCGCUUUCGCCUGUGACGAAGCGUGAGUGACGGUAAUGGGUAAAGAAGCACCGGCUAACUACGUG